RNAcentral lists this ribosomal RNA (253 nucleotides) under uncultured bacterium. RNAcentral's name for it is "partial 16S ribosomal RNA". It matches the Rfam family "Bacterial small subunit ribosomal RNA", at positions 524 to 776 of the family's 1533-position model. The record is from RNAcentral.
UACAGAGACUGCAAGCGUUAUUCGGAUUCACUGGGCGUAAAGGGUGCGCAGGCGGCCAUGUGUGUCAGGUGUGAAAGCCCGGGGCUUAACCCCGGAAUUGCGCCUGAAACUACAUGGCUAGAGCAUUGGAGAGGGUAGCGGAAUUCACGGUGUAGCAGUGAAAUGCGUAGAUAUCGUGAGGAAGACCAGUGGCGAAGGCGGGUCUCUGGACAGUUCCUGACACUGAGGCACGAAGGCCAGGGGAGCAAACGGG